CCGCGUGUCAGCGUUAUGAAUAUUAUUACGAGUCGUUUCUAUAUUAUAAUGACGUUGAUUUAUCGAAUUCUCCAUACGUAAACGAUAUUUUAUCGUAUUUUUUUCUACGUGACGGUCAUUUAGGAUCCAUAUAUGCGCGUGAGCUUCAGGCUUGUGAUUCUUUCUCACUAUUAAACAUCACGAGAAAUAGAUGUUGGAUGAUUAUUGGUAGGAUCGUUACAGUGGUGCGAUCAGGAUUUAUUUUCGGAAGGGGUUUUAUCAAUUUGAAAAAAAAAAAAUCAAUUUUGGCUGGUGUUUGGUGGGGUAGAGAGGGUAAGGUUUAAUUAGGUUUAUGAAUAAAAUCUUUAAAUUGUUAAUUUUCAUUUAUAGACAACGCAUAUUGGAAAACAAUUU
Cinara cedri is the source of this 393-nucleotide non-coding RNA. The record is from the annotation of a GenBank genome assembly. Lineage: Eukaryota; Metazoa; Arthropoda; Insecta; Hemiptera; Aphididae.